CGAUCAAUACUUCAUUGGUAGUUAAUACAAAUGAAAACGGCUAUAAAGCGCCUCCUGAAGUCAUUCAGACAGCUGCUAGGUCGCAGAAUGCAAGCAAACCCUUAGAAUUGCGCUGGACCUCAAGCAAUGCAAGCGAUCAGUUCUUUAUGUAUUUGUACUUUGCCGAAGUUGAGCAGAUUCAGAGAAACGUUUCAAGAAAAUUCAACAUAUCAUGGAAUGGAUCUCAAAUCUCCUAGCCUUUUAGUCCGCGCUAUCUCUAUGCAGCCACGACAUCUAACUCAAAAGCCUUGGUGGGAGGUGAACAUCGAAUUGUGAUCUAUAAAAUAGCUGAUUCGACUCCCGCCCGUAUUGAAUACUGUUAAGAUCUACAAGGCAAGGUUGCUAGAUGAAUUGCUAACAAACAGUGAAGAUGAUAUGUUAUUUUCUCUUAGUGUUCGAAAUUUCGAUUCUGCAUAGCCUAUAAGCAUAUUGGAAUCAGUAACGAGGAAUAGUCUCAAGGGAUGGUCAAGUUUGCUCUAGCGAAAGCAAUUGAGGUUGAACUUGCUUGAGAUGUGAAAAGAAAUGAAGAGGGAAAAAAACUGCAUGCUACCGCAGGAAUCUCAGAAUCAGUACUUAUGUUGAGGCAAUUUCAUGGCUGUUAGUAUAUGCUUAAACUAGAUAUGAAAGUCUACACACUUUCUGUCUACUUCAUCGCAUCCGAUACAAUAUACAAUCAAUGCUUUGCUCAGUGUCGAAACAACAUAUCAAAUAAAGAAGAACUGGGCGGGCGAUCCAUGUGGGCCGAAGAAGUACCCAUGGGAAGGGCUCGCAUGUCACUACGGCCGUUCGAUUCUUCCUCAAGUAAUCUACCGGUGAGUUCUUGCGGCACAUUUGGUCUGGCACACAUUAACCAGCUUAGGUGCAAAUUUUAGCCUCAGGAUGUCUUCUAUGAUGUAUGCAGGAACUCAAGCUCGAGCAAAUUGAAUGGGGCAAUUACUGCUGCUUUGGUAGAACUUUCGUCAUUGGAAUCCUUGUGAGCGUACUAAGAUUUCCAUAUGGCUCGGCCAUAAUAUGCCACCGAUUUCUAGAAAUAAGUGAAUUUUUUCUUUUGUUCUUCUUACUUGUUGCGACUGCCUGCCAACUGCCAGCCACCGCCCAACCAAUGGCGACCAUCGUCGCUACUGCUUGACCAGUGGCAACCAUCAUCGCCGCGGCUGCCUGAUCGUCAUCGCUGCCGCCCACAGCCCAUUGGCCACCCCCGAUCGUCGACGACUACCACUGACUGCCGGUAGCCUGCUGCCACCGCCAAUCGCCGCCACCCGACCAUCAGCAGCCUGCCAUCGCUACCAACCACUGCUAGCCGCCACUCGGCACCGCACAACUAUCGCCCGUUGACCAUUGCCACACGACCGCUGCCCACAGCCCACCAACUGUCCUCCUAUGGUUGCCCGUUCGUUGAAGGCAAACGGCCAUUGACGGUCGACGGUGGCUGAUGGGCUCUCGACAAUUGUCAUGCGGCGAUGAUCGAUGUGCGGUGGUCGUGCGGCAGUCGUGCAGUUGGCAUGUGGCGGUCCUGCGGCAACCGUGCAAUGGCUAUGCAAUGGCCGUGCGACGACCGUGCGAUGGUCGUGUGGUCGGCGUGCAGCAAAGGCGGACGGCCAUCAGCAGUUGGCAGCGGCCAAUGGGUUGUGGGCGGCAAUUGUGUGGCAAUCGUGUGGUUGUGCAGUGGAGGCAGACAACCGCCGACGAUUGGCAAUGGUCGAUGGGCUGUGGGCGAUGGUCGUGUGGCGAUGGUCAAUGGUGAUGGUCAGCAGGCGGUGGUCAUGCAGCGACGAUCAACAGUGAUGGUCAGCAGGCGGCGAUCAUGCGGUCGGCGUGCAGCGGUCGUGCGAUCGGCGUGCAGCGGUCAUGCGGUGCCGAGCGAUAGAGGCGGGCAGUAGUCGAUGGUUUGUGAGCAAGAAUAAAUAAAUAAAUAAAUACAAAAAAUAAAAAAUCGUACCAAAUGCAUUUCUAUUCCUUUUCUAUUUCAAAAUUAGAAAUUUUAUAUAAUUACCAAAUACAUUAUUUUACUCAAAAAUUAUUCCCGGAGUAAAAAUAGAAAAUAAUUAUUUCUAAAAAGAAACUGUUUCCCAAAGUAGAAGCGUUAUAAUGCACACCCCAAGCGGCUCACGUUUUCUUCUAAUUUCUAUUUGAUUGAGGAAUGGAACCUGUUCCUACAAGUUGUUGCGUGAUUUUACAUGAAUUCUUCUGGUGCUCGACGAUUGGUAGGCAGAACAUGUUAGAAUAGGCUAGUGAAAAACGCGUCGUUAUAUUCACGGUUAAAGAUCAUCUGGAGCUCUUUCUUCUGACUGUCUACAAAUGCUCUGCUCUGAUUUGUUUGAAAUAGGCUUCAUAAGCAUAUACUGCGGCGCGCCUGCAAAAUUCAAGUACAUCGACCAGCACAACGAAAUUAGUUAUGAGUCUGAUGGAGCUUACACCGACACCGAAACAAACAGGAACAUCUCCUCUGACUAUGCAUACCCGAACAACCCCAAUCUGCCUCAGCCGCUUUCGGAUCUCCACAGCUUUCCUCAAGGAAACAAGAAUCGUUACACCUUAAGACCUGCUACGGAUAAUGCCAACUUAUAUUUAAUAAGAGCUAGUUUCUAUUAUAGAUGAAGUCAAAUAUUUGUUUUUAGGGGUUUUUUUGUCUUUUCUAUCAUUUUUGCUUUUAGGUUAAAAGUGAUACCUUUAUAUUAGUGAUGGCAAGAUCCUAGCCGUCAAGACGCUAAAAAGGAAAUAGAGAGGCAAGAAAAAAAGUGAGAAAAAAAGUGAGUUUUUUUUCUUGAUGGGGGUUCUCAAUCUUUAGGUGCCCUGAUAUUGAGAAAAGAUCAUCGUUGUAUUCCAAAUUUUUUCAAAAUCUAGUGGAUUCGCAAAGUGCCUCUGCGCGAAGAUGUAGCCCAGGUUUGGGUGAACUUCGAUAACAAAUUUUAUGGUGUAUUCACUUGAUUCUGUUCUUUUAUUACUAUAUUUUGUCUGGUGAAUUGUUUGCAAGCGUUAUUUUUUGUGGAAUCGACGUGCGAUUUCAUAACAACUGGUAUUAAAGCCUGGGUUGGCUAAUCGAGAACAUCGAGAGUUUUUCGGUGACGUUCAAUUGAAAGCAAACAAUAUGGCAGAAGAUAAAAUCAGAAUCGAUAAGUUCAAUGGGGAGGAUUUCGGAUGGUAGAAACUACAAAUAGAGGAUUAUCUUUAUCAAAAAGAUCUCUAUGCACCACUUGAGGGUUGGAAACUCGAGAUGGCUGAAGUGGAUCUGACAGCAGAAGCCGGAUGGAAAAUUCUUGAUCGAAAGGCAUUAGGUGCGAUUCAUCUAGGGUUGACGAAAAAGACAAGGUACCACAUCGUGAAAGCAAAAACUGCAAAACAAGCCAUGGAUAUUCUAACGAAUAUUUAUGAAAAGUCGUCCACAUCAAAUCAGGUAUUUUUGCUUAAGAAACUGGUUAAUAUGAAGUUAUCUGAUAGAAGUUCUGUGGCAGAGUAUAUUAAUAGUUUCACGCAGGUCACGGGUCAAUUGGAAUCUGCAGGCAUAAAUUUAUAUAUGAAGCUUCAAGCUUUAUUAUUUUUAUGUUCUCUUCCAGAAAGCUACAAUACCGCAGUGCAGGGAAUUUCGAGCACCAUGAAGGAUGACUUAAUUCUUGAUGAUGCUGUGAGUAGUAUCAUGGAUGAAGAGAUGUGAAGGAAAGUCUCGGGUGGAGAUAAUUUUUCUGUAUCUACAUCUUCAACGGCACUCGCAGUGGAGAACCGUCGAAGAAGUAAAAGUAGAGGAAAAUUCAGCGAGCAUGGCAGGUCACAAUCAAGGGGUAAGAGACAGGUUGCAAAAGAUGAGUGUUGGUUUUGUCAUAAAAUCGGACAUUGGAGGUUUCAGUGUGAAGCCUACGAAAAGAAGUAGCACGAUGAGAAUCAAUGAUCUAAUGUGAUUAGUGAUGAAUCUUUGCUAGAUAACUUGUGUUUGUCUACAGGGUUUGACUUGACAAUAGAUAAAUGGUUUAUUGAUUCGGGUGCUUCUUUUCAUUGCACCUCGCAAAGAGACAUUUGAUGAUUAUGUCAGUGGAGAUUUCGGACAAGUAGUUGUGGGAAAUGGCCAUAUAUGUCCCAUUGUUGGGAAAUGAACCGUGAUUGUGAACAUCUCAGGUGGAGGACGUCUAGUUUUGCGUGAAACUAGGCAUAUUCCGGAAUUAAAGAAAAAUCUAAUUUCAACCAAUAAACUUAACCAAGAAGGUUUGGUAAUAACCUUUGAAUGCGGAGAGUGGAAGAUAACCUCAGAGGCAAGAGUAGUAGCAAAGGGAAAGCGUAUAGGUACACUUUACCUUCUCUAAGGAGAAAAUAUCAGUGAUAUGAUUGUAACUACAAUGGCUACAGGUAAUUUGUCUACUCUUUGGUAUUAUCGUUUGGGACAUCUUGGUGAAAAAUGUAUAAAGCAGUUACACUUGAGGAAAUUACUUCUAGGUUUGUAAAAAGUUGAGUUAGAUUUUUGUGAGAGUUGCAUGUAUAGGGACCUGCUCAAGAACUCUCUUAUUGCAGUAAGAAAUAUUUUGUCACCUUCAUUGAUGAUGCGACAAGAAAGACUUGGGUCUAUGUUCUUAGAGAAAAUUCAGAAGUAUUUGAGAUAUUCAAAAUGUGGAAGACCAUGGUAGAAAAAGAGACAGGUUAUCAGAUUAGAGCUCUGAAAUCUGAUAAUGGUGGUGAAUACACGAGUAAGGAAUUUGCAAAAUUUUUUAGUCGAGAGGGCAUACAUGGAUUAAAGACUGUUUCUAGAACUCCUCAAGAGAACGAUGUAGCUAAAAGAAUGAAUAGGACUAUUCUAGAACGUGCGAGAUGCAUGAGACUACACGUGGGUCUCCCGCUACACUUAUGGGCCGCCACGGUUGAUGCAGCUGUUAUCUUAUCAACAGAAGUCUAUCUAAUUCGUUGGAUGGAGAAAUACCACAAGAACGGUGGUCAGGUAAAAAGAUUAAUUAUUCUCAUCUAAAGGUGUUUGGUUGUAUUGUAUAUGCUUUGAUUGACAAGAAGGAUAGAAAAAAGCUUGAUGCUAAGUCCCAGAAGUGCAUCUUUAUCGGAUACGGUGGUGAUGAGUAUGGCUAUAGGCUUUGGGAUUAUGAGAAUAAUAAAGUCAUCCGCAGUCGCAAUGUGGUAUUCCAUGAAGAAAAUAUGCAUAAAGAUCGGCAGACAGAGCAUGAAAAGGUAGUAGAACCAGAGUAUGUUGAAUUAGACACAAUGCCUGUGAAGAUGUUUCAAGUAGAUCAAAGUGCACUUGAAAGAGAGGUUCAAGAUGAGCCUAUUAUUAGUGAAGAUGUAGUUCAAGAGGAACGCAAUGAUUCGGAGCAAACUAACAACCUUGAAGUACCUGUCUUAAGGAGGUCUACACAUGUGAGAAAGCCAAAGGUAAUUUUUGAUCCAUCAGCUAAUACUAUUCAAAGCCAUGUCUUAUAUACAAAUUCAGGAGAACCGGAGACUUAUGAUGAGGCAAAGGCAGACACGUCUCACUUGCAGUGGGAGUGUGCUAUGAAAGACGAGAUGAGCUCGUUACUUCAGAAUAAAACUUGGGAGUUAACCAAGUUGCCCACAAGUAAAAAAGUUUUAUUAAACAAAUAAGUGUACAUGAUUAAGAAUGAAGCGGAUGGUAGUAUUAUAUACAAUGCGAGACUUGUAGUCAAGGGCUUUUCUCAAAAAGAAGGGAUCGACUACUCUGAGAUAUUUUCACCUGUAGUGAAAAUGACAUUAAUUAGAGUUCUGCUGAGUAUAGUUGCAGUGGAGGAUCUUCAUCUUGAGCAGUUAGACGUAAAAAUAGCGUUUUUACACGGUGACUUAGAUGAAGAACUAUACAUGGCACAACCUAAAGAUUUUGAAGUCAAAGGUAAUGAGCACAUGGUAUGUUGCUUGAAGAAAAGUUUGUUUGGCUUGAAACAAGCUAUGCGGCAGUGGUACCUAAAAUUUGAUGGUUUUAUGAAUGAAAAAGGAUUUGCACACUGUGAAUCUAAUCAUUGUGUUUAUUUUCGCAAAUAUGAUGAUGGUGACAUUAUGUAUCUCUCUUUAUAUGUGGAUGACAUGCUAGUGGCUAGUUCUAAUAUGAAGAGAAUCGUAAAUGUGAAAAAGAUGUUAUCAUCACAGUUUGCUAUGAAAGACUUGGGAGAGGCCAAGAAUAUUUUGGGCAUGAAAAUCAUCAGGGAUAGGAAAAAUAAAAAAUUAUGGUUGUCGCAGGAAGACUAUGUGAACGAGGUGUUAAAGAGAUUUAACAUGAACAAGGCAAAAUCGGUUGCAACUCCUCUAACGAGUCACUUCAAACUUUCCAAGGAUAUGUAUCCAAGCGCUCAGGCUUUGAAAGAUGAGAUGGCGAUAGUUCCAUAUGCAUCAGCAAUUGGGAGUUUGAUGUAUGCCAUGGUAAGCACGAGACCAGAUAUUACACAUGUAGUGAGAGUUGUGAGUCGAUAUAUGCAGAACCUAAGCAGAGAGCAUUGGAAUGCAAUAAAAUGGAUAUUGAGAUAUCUAGCAGGUACUUCCAAUUACUCACUUUGUUAUGGUGGUACAUCUCUAGAGUUGUAGGGUUAUACAAAUGCAAAUCAUUCAGGUGAUCGAGAUAGUGGUAAGAGUUUCACUGGAUAUGUCUUUACAGUUGCAGGUACAACAGUGAGUUGGGUAUCUCAAUUACAAAAAGUAGUAGCUUUAUCGACGAUAGAAGCAUAAUACGUGGCGAUCACAGAAGCCUCCAAGGAAAUCAUGUGGUUACAAGAUUAUAUGGAGGAGUUACAUCGAAAACAGCCAGUCAGUACACUUUGGAGUGAUAGUCAAAGUGCAGUGCACUUAGCAAAGAAUGCAGCUUAUCACUCAAAGACUAGACAUAUCAAGAAGCGUUAUCAAGUCAGCAUUGAAAGAUAAUGAGUUAAAGCUACAGAAGAUUGAUGGCUCGAAAAAUCUAGCUGACAUGAUGACUAAGGUAGUAGACAGAGAGAAACAUAUUUUAUGUACUACUACCAUUGGCAUUACUCAAUGUUGAUUGAUGAGGAGUAUCGCAGAAGCACAAGUUUUUCAACUACUAUUUUUUGAAGAAAAUGGACGCAAAGUUGUUUGGUGCUUAGGUAUAUUUGUCUUCAAGUGGGAGAUUGUUAUAGAUGAAGUCAAAUAUUUGUUUUUAUGGGCUUUUUUGUCUUUUCUAUAAGAUUUGCUUUUAGGUUAAAAGUGAUACAUUUAUAUUAGCGAUGGCAAGACCCUAACCGUCAAGACGCUAAAAAAAGAAAUAAUGAGGCAAUAAGAAGAGAGAAGAAAAAAGUAACUUUUUUUUUUCUUGAUGGGGGUUCUCAAUCUUUUUGUGCCAUGAUCUUGAGAGAAGAUCAUCGUUAUAUUCCAACUUUUUUCGAAGUCUAGUAGAUUCGCAGAGUACCUCUGCGCAAAGAUGUAGCCCAGGGUUGAGUGAACUUCGAUAACAAAUUUUCUGGCGUAUUCAUCUGAUUUUGUUCUUUUAUUACUAUAUUAUGUUUGGUUAAUUGUUUGCAAGCGUUAUUUUUUGUGGAAUCGACAUGUGAUUUCGUAACAAUUUCUUUUAUGCAAACUAUGAUGGACUCAAUGAUCCACCUCAGUUCGAUCUUUAUCUCGAUGCCAAUCUCUGGUUAACAGUGAAAUUCAGCAAUACUUCUGACGUCGUGACUUCAGAGACUGUUAGUUUGCAUCUUCGGAGGCUAUUUAUGUUUGUCUCGUGAACAUUGGUGCAGGAGCUCCUUUCAUAUCGAUGUUGGAGCUUAGGCCACUGAACAGUUUGACAUACGACUCCGAAUAUGGGAAAUUUGUUUCAUUACUUCUCUUUCAAAGGUUGAAUGUUGGUUCAACCAAGGGAAGUGGUAGAUACAUAGAUGAUAUAUACGACCGCAUUUGGGCUCCUUAUGUUUCCCCUUCAUGGGAGGCGAUCAAUACUUCAUUGGCAGUUAAUACAAAUGAAAACGGCUAUAAAGCGCCUCCUGAAGUCAUUCAGACAGCUGCUAGGUCGCGGAAUGCGGGAAACCCUUGGAAUUGCGCUAGACCUCAAGCAAUGCAAGCAAUCAGUUCUUUGUGUACUUGUACUUUGCCGAAGUUGAGCAGCUUCAGAGAAACAUUUCAAGAAAAU
RNAcentral lists this long non-coding RNA (8107 nucleotides) under Eucalyptus grandis. RNAcentral describes it as "long non-coding RNA (EGRA_LNC001338)". Lineage: Eukaryota; Viridiplantae; Streptophyta; Magnoliopsida; Myrtales; Myrtaceae. The record is from RNAcentral.